RNAcentral lists this transfer RNA (75 nucleotides) under Cordylochernes scorpioides. RNAcentral's name for it is "tRNA-Thr". It matches the Rfam family "tRNA". Rfam says of the family: Transfer RNA (tRNA) molecules are approximately 80 nucleotides in length. The record is from RNAcentral. Lineage: Eukaryota; Metazoa; Arthropoda; Arachnida; Pseudoscorpiones; Chernetidae.
GUCAAGGAUAGCCUAGUUGACAUGGCUUUUGCCCAGUAAGCGAAACACUGUGGGUUCGAUUCCCAUCUCUGGACA